GAUGAACGCUGACAGAAUGCUUAACACAUGCAAGUCGAUUCGAUUUACCUUCGGGUAUUGAGGAUGGCGGACGGGUGAGUAACGCGUAAGGAACUUGCCUCUUGGUCUGGGACAACUGUUGGAAACGACAGCUAAUACCGGAUAUUAUGAGAUUCUCGCAUGGGAAACUUAUGAAAGCUAUAUGCGCCAAGAGAGAGCCUUGCGUUCCAUUAGCUAGUUGGUGGGGUAACGGCCCACCAAGGCGACGAUGGAUAGCCGGCCUGAGAGGGUGAACGGCCACAAGGGGACUGAGACACGGCCCUUACUCCUACGGGAGGCAGCAGUGGGGAAUAUUGGACAAUGGGCCACAAGCCUGAUCCAGCAAUUCUGUGUGCACGAUGAAGGUCUUCGGAUUGUAAAGUGCUUUCAGUUGGGAAGAAGAAAGUGACGGUACCAACAGAAGAAGCGACGGCUAAAUACGUGCCAGCAGCCGCGGUAAUACGUAUGUCGCAAGCGUUAUCCGGAUUUAUUGGGCGUAAAGCGCGUCUAGGCGGAAAAAUAAGUCUGAUGUUAAAAUGCGGGGCUCAACUCCGUAUUGCGUUGGAAACUGUUUUUCUAGAGUACUGGAGAGGUGGGCGGAACUACAAGUGUAGAGGUGAAANUCGUAGAUAUUUGUAGGAAUGCCGAUGGAGAAGUCAGCUCACUGGACAGAUACUGACGCUGAAGCGCGAAAGCNUGGGGAGCAAACAGGAUUAGAUACCCUGGUAGUCCACGCC
This 755-nucleotide ribosomal RNA is filed under the name uncultured prokaryote. RNAcentral describes it as "bacterial SSU rRNA". It matches the Rfam family "Bacterial small subunit ribosomal RNA", at positions 28 to 801 of the family's 1533-position model. The record is from RNAcentral.